AUAACGGCGUCGAGCGGCGGACGGGUGAGUAAUGCCUAGGAAAUUGCCCUGAUGUGGGGGAUAACCAUUGGAAACGAUGGCUAAUACCGCAUGAUGCCUACGGGCCAAAGAGGGGGACCUUCGGGCCUCUCGCGUCAGGAUAUGCCUAGGUGGGAUUAGCUAGUUGGUGAGGUAAGGGCUCACCAAGGCGACGAUCCCUAGCUGGUCUGAGAGGAUGAUCAGCCACACUGGAACUGAGACACGGUCCAGACUCCUACGGGAGGCAGCAGUGGGGAAUAUUGCACAAUGGGCGCAAGCCUGAUGCAGCCAUGCCGCGUGUGUGAAGAAGGCCUUCGGGUUGUAAAGCACUUUCAGUCGUGAGGAAGGUAGUGUAGUUAAUAGCUGCAUUAUUUGACGUUAGCGACAGAAGAAGCACCGGCUAACUCCGUGCCAGCAGCCGCGGUAAUACGGAGGGUGCGAGCGUUAAUCGGAAUUACUGGGCGUAAAGCGCAUGCAGGUGGUUUGUUAAGUCAGAUGUGAAAGCCCGGGGCUCAACCUCGGAAUAGCAUUUGAAACUGGCAGACUAGAGUACUGUAGAGGGGGGUAGAAUUUCAGGUGUAGCGGUGAAAUGCGUAGAGAUCUGAAGGAAUACCGGUGGCGAAGGCGGCCCCCUGGACAGAUACUGACACUCAGAUGCGAAAGCGUGGGGAGCAAACAGGAUUAGAUACCCUGGUAGUCCACGCCGUAAACGAUGUCUACUUGGAGGUUGUGGCCUUGAGCCGUGGCUUUCGGAGCUAACGCGUUAAGUAGACCGCCUGGGGAGUACGGUCGCAAGAUUAAAACUCAAAUGAAUUGACGGGGGCCCGCACAAGCGGUGGAGCAUGUGGUUUAAUUCGAUGCAACGCGAAGAACCUUACCUACUCUUGACAUCCAGAGAACUUUCCAGAGAUGGAUUGGUGCCUUCGGGAACUCUGAGACAGGUGCUGCAUGGCUGUCGUCAGCUCGUGUUGUGAAAUGUUGGGUUAAGUCCCGCAACGAGCGCAACCCUUAUCCUUGUUUGCCAGCGAGUAAUGUCGGGAACUCCAGGGAGACUGCCGGUGAUAAACCGGAGGAAGGUGGGGACGACGUCAAGUCAUCAUGGCCCUUACGAGUAGGGCUACACACGUGCUACAAUGGCGCAUACAGAGGGCGGCCAACUUGCGAAAGUGAGCGAAUCCCAAAAAGUGCGUCGUAGUCCGGAUUGGAGUCUGCAACUCGACUCCAUGAAGUCGGAAUCGCUAGUAAUCGUGGAUCAGAAUGCCACGGUGAAUACGUUCCCGGGCCUUGUACACACCGCCCGUCACACCAUGGGAGUGGGCUGCAAAAGAAGUAGGUAG
RNAcentral lists this ribosomal RNA (1355 nucleotides) under Vibrio neocaledonicus. RNAcentral's name for it is "bacterial SSU rRNA". It matches the Rfam family "Bacterial small subunit ribosomal RNA", at positions 82 to 1433 of the family's 1533-position model. Lineage: Bacteria; Pseudomonadati; Pseudomonadota; Gammaproteobacteria; Vibrionales; Vibrionaceae. The record is from RNAcentral.